CCGAGCAUCUUCCAAAGCCUUGUGCGAAGAGACCCAGGGGGACGGAGAGAUGCUGGAUCCGACCUUGGGCGUUGCACGCCGUUUGUAUGCCACUUGUAACUUCCACCUUUUAAUCUUUGUUCAAAACGCAUACCAAAAGCAAAACUUUGUCUCACACACCAGAGAAAAUAAAAUUAUUGGCAACCAGCACUGCAGCCUUUAAAGGGGGGGGGGAUAUUGCUGGACAAAUACCAAAGUUAA
Podarcis muralis (Common wall lizard) is the source of this 240-nucleotide long non-coding RNA. RefSeq lists it as uncharacterized. The record is from RefSeq and is a predicted model, not a curated record. Lineage: Eukaryota; Metazoa; Chordata; Lepidosauria; Squamata; Lacertidae.